This 72-nucleotide transfer RNA is filed under the name Phrynosoma platyrhinos (Desert horned lizard). Its description in RNAcentral is "tRNA-OTHER". Lineage: Eukaryota; Metazoa; Chordata; Lepidosauria; Squamata; Phrynosomatidae. The record is from RNAcentral.
GCAAGCAUGGCGUAGUGGUUUGAGCGUUGGACUACAGCUCUGGAGACCAGGGUUCAAUUCCCAGCUCAGUCA